GAAUAGAAAUUAUUAUUAAAUUUAUUUAUUUAUUUAUUAUUAAAAAAAAUAGUUAUUAUUUUAUUAUUUAUAAAGAAAAAAUAUAAUUAAUUAUAGGUUAUUAGUAUUGUGAAAGAAUAAAUUUAUAUAUUUAAAAGAAAAAUUAAAUUUUUGUACCUUGUGUAUCAGGGUUAAUUAAAUAAAAAUUUUUUAUAGAAUUUUCUCGAAUUUAAAAGAGUUAAUUAUUUAUAUAUUUAAUUGUGAAAUAAAUUUUUAUAAUAAAUAAUUAGUAAUGAAACGUUAUUCGUUUUUAAAUAUAUCUAGUUUUUAAAGAAAAAAAUUUAAUUUUAUUAUUAAUAGUUAAAAUUUUAUAUUUUUAAUAUUUUAUUAUUAAUAUUUUAUCUUAAUAGGGAUAAGCUUAUUAAGAAAAUAAUUAUAAUUAAAUUAUAUAUAUAAAUAAUUUAUAGAAUUAAAAUUUUUUAUUGAUAAGAAAAUGUUAUAAUUAAUUAUUUAAAGUUUAUAUUUAUAUUUAAUUUAAAUUUUAUAUUUAAAUUUAUAUUUUAAUUUUAAAAAUUUAGUAAUUAUGAUUAAAUUAGUAUAAUAAUAUUGUAAUAUUAAAUUUUUUAUUUAGGUUAAUUUAAGGAAUUCGGCAAAUUUAUUUUUCACCUGUUUAUUAAAAACAUGUCUUUUUGAUUAUAAUUUAAAGUCUAAUCUGCCCACUGAGUUAUUGAAUGGCCGCGGUAUUUUGACCGUGCAAAGGUAGCAUAAUAAUUAGUUUUUUAAUUGGAAGCUGGUAUGAAUGAUUGAAUGAGAAAAUAACUGUCUCAAAUUAAUUUAUAUAGAAUUUUAUUUUUAAGUAAAAAAGCUUAAAUAAAGUUAGAAGACGAGAAGACCCUAUAGAGUUUAAUAAAUUUUAUUAAUUUAGGUUAAUAGUUUUAAAUACUUAAAUUUUUUAAGUUUAUUUUAUU
Molecule: ribosomal RNA, 947 nt
Filed under: Apteropilo raldae
Lineage: Eukaryota; Metazoa; Arthropoda; Insecta; Coleoptera; Cleridae
Description: partial 16S ribosomal RNA
Source: RNAcentral